Dermacentor silvarum is the source of this 463-nucleotide long non-coding RNA. RefSeq lists it as uncharacterized. The transcript is spliced from 4 exons. The record is from RefSeq and is a predicted model, not a curated record. NCBI's taxonomy places the organism in Eukaryota, Metazoa, Arthropoda, Arachnida, Ixodida, Ixodidae.
CGAACCGUGCCUUCUGGGAAGCCAGGUUCGCUCUAGGCCUCUGCGACAAAAAGACAGAAGUCGCCAUGAUCCUCCUCCGUGGCAAGAUGGGAGCGAACAGCGACAGUCCCCCGGCAAUGGGUUGGUGCCGUGGACCGCUCAAGGUUUCAUGGCGUACGACGCUGAGAAGCCAGUCGAAGUGGACCGGUGAAACCGGGCAGGACGGAAGCGAACAGCACAGUGCCAUCGCAGUGAUCGCAGCCUUCCGUCUACUUUUCCCGAGGGCGAGGGACCUUCGAUAAUGGUAGACGUGGUCGGGGCAAGUCCGAAGAGAACAGCUGUUGUGUACGAAGUGACAUAAGGACACCGAAAACUGGCUGUGCGUGGCUUAGGGGACGCACAAGCCUGCCGAAUGCAGCAAAGACAAGACCGAAGCGAGCAGAUAGUGUUGCCGUCUGCAGCGACGUGAGGUUACCGAAGACAG